CUUAUGCACUGCACAUCUACCUAUUGAGAUCUAUUCACCUACAAAAUUUCAUGUUGAUAUCUCUUAUAGUUUUAGAGUUAUGCCCCGGACAAGAUUUUUCUAUAAGGGGAGAUAAUUCAAAAACCGGGCAAAAUAGAGUUAUGGUUCUUUGACACUGCACUCCCCCUCAAUGCCCUCUACCACUGUAUGAAGUUUAAACAAAUUAUCUCCAAGGGUUUUCAAGUUAUGCUCCGGACAAGAAAACGGACGGACAGACGGACGGACGGACAGACGGACAAGGCGCCGACUAUAUGCUCCCCCGAAAUUUUUCGGGGAGCAUAAAAAAAUUGAAAA
Ruditapes philippinarum (Manila clam) is the source of this 333-nucleotide long non-coding RNA. RefSeq lists it as uncharacterized. NCBI's taxonomy places the organism in Eukaryota, Metazoa, Mollusca, Bivalvia, Venerida, Veneridae. The transcript is spliced from 2 exons. The record is from RefSeq and is a predicted model, not a curated record.